GUUUGUAUUGACAGGUGGUGGAACAAAUAUGAGUUUUUUAUAUGCUAAUCAGAUAAAAAUAAAACUCAUAUUUAGUUCUACCAACUGUUAAAGCACACA
RNAcentral lists this microRNA precursor (99 nucleotides) under Capsella rubella. Its description in RNAcentral is "MIR9560 microRNA precursor family". It matches the Rfam family "MIR9560 microRNA precursor family". Lineage: Eukaryota; Viridiplantae; Streptophyta; Magnoliopsida; Brassicales; Brassicaceae. The record is from Rfam by way of RNAcentral.